Molecule: ribosomal RNA, 491 nt
Filed under: uncultured bacterium
Lineage: Bacteria
Description: partial 16S ribosomal RNA
Rfam family: Bacterial small subunit ribosomal RNA
Source: RNAcentral
AGUGAACGCUGGCGGUAGGCCUAACACAUGCAAGUCGAACGGCAGCACAGUAAGAGCUUGCUCUUACGGGUGGCGAGUGGCGGACGGGUGAGGAAUACAUCGGAAUCUACUUUUUCGUGGGGGAUAACGUAGGGAAACUUACGCUAAUACCGCAUACGACCUACGGGUGAAAGCAGGGGAUCUUCGGACCUUGCGCGAUUGAAUGAGCCGAUGUCGGAUUAGCUAGUUGGCGGGGUAAGGCCCACCAAGGCGACGAUCCGUAGCUGGUCUGAGAGGAUGAUCAGCCACACUGGAACUGAGACACGGUCCAGACUCCUACGGGAGGCAGCAGUGGGGAAUAUUGGACAAAGGGCGCAAGCCUGAUCCAGCCAUACCGCGUGGGUGAAGAAGGCCUUCGGGUUGUAAAGCCCUUUUGUUGGGAAAGAAAAGCAGCAGGUUAAUACCCCGCUGUUCUGACGGUACCCAAAGAAUAAGCACCGGCUAACUUCGUG